This 253-nucleotide ribosomal RNA is filed under the name uncultured bacterium. Its description in RNAcentral is "partial 16S ribosomal RNA". It matches the Rfam family "Bacterial small subunit ribosomal RNA", at positions 524 to 776 of the family's 1533-position model. The record is from RNAcentral.
UACAGAGGGGGCAAGCGUUGUUCGGAAUUACUGGGCGUAAAGGGCGCGUAGGCGGCCUUCUAAGUCGAACGUGAAAUCCCCGGGCUCAACCCGGGAACUGCGUCCGAUACUGGAAGGCUUGAAUCCGGGAGAGGGAUGUGGAAUUCCAGGUGUGGCGGUGAAAUGCGUAGAUAUCUGGAGGAACACCGGUGGCGAAGGCGACAUCCUGGACCGGUAUUGACGCUGAGGCGCGAAAGCCAGGGGAGCAAACGGG